AUUCUAUAUGUUUCUUCAGGGCAACAACUAAAGAAAUCUUGAAUUCAAGCUGAGAAAUUGUCCAACUAGUCAGGGUUCCGUUCAAACCUCGAAUUAGGGUUGGAAGAAGUGGGGAGUUGGCCAAUAGGGGGGAAUUUCUGUUAUUGCAACGUGUUGAAGCUGGAGAAACGUGGUGUAAUGUUAAUAGAUCAUAUCGGCUGCUCAAAAGUUGUAGAUGGUUUGGUGUUUUAUGGUCUAAAGCACCAUGUGAAGAAAGUAUUGAUGUUUUUCUUCCAGAAGUUGAGGUAUUUGUUCAAGUCCAGAAACAUGUAUCAAGUAAGUUUGCUUAUUAUUACUGAUUUAUAUUUGGAUGGUUGUUGUC
This is a long non-coding RNA of Cynara cardunculus var. scolymus (artichoke), 361 nucleotides long. RefSeq lists it as uncharacterized. The record is from RefSeq and is a predicted model, not a curated record. The transcript has 2 exons. NCBI's taxonomy places the organism in Eukaryota, Viridiplantae, Streptophyta, Magnoliopsida, Asterales, Asteraceae.